Molecule: long non-coding RNA, 158 nt
Organism: Gorilla gorilla gorilla (western lowland gorilla)
Lineage: Eukaryota; Metazoa; Chordata; Mammalia; Primates; Hominidae
Exons: 3
Source: RefSeq, a predicted model, not a curated record
GUGAAAUUCCUCACGGAUUUUGAGACAUCAAAGCAGGAGAAUAUCAAGUGAUAUUUUUCACCCCUUAAGUCAAGUUGGGCUUUGGACAGCUAAAUUGUUACAAGUUGAGCAGAUAGCAAUACAGAAGAUUGGAAGGGCUGUGAAGCUAUCAACAGGAG